Molecule: long non-coding RNA, 327 nt
Organism: Sinocyclocheilus anshuiensis
Lineage: Eukaryota; Metazoa; Chordata; Actinopteri; Cypriniformes; Cyprinidae
Exons: 2
Source: RefSeq, a predicted model, not a curated record
UUCCGUAACCGACAUUUUUUAAAUAUACCAUCGAGACCAGAGAUGGACAUAUAAUUAACGAGUCCACCCAACAUGAUGAUCUGGAAUGAGCCGCAUGUGACCAGUAGGGCCACUAGAGAGCUGAAGAUCCAUGCUGGAGUAGAACGAGGAGGAAUGGAGUUUCUUUUGUUGUUUCUGUUGAGAGUAAAAAAGAAAAAGAGCUUUAAAGUGCCUUUAGAGCGGUCUGUUGAUAGAGCUGUAUUAGAGCUGAAAAGAUAACGUAGGCCACUGAAUAAACCAGCUUUAUCCAGGUUUAUGUUUACCAGGAUGUCUGUAGUUUACACUGUU